GCAGAGACUUUAAUUCUAUUAAAUUUUAAAAUUGAAGACUCUUAUUUCUGAGAAAUGUUUUAUCAUGAAUGGUAGCAAUGUGAAUGCAAGGAAGAAGAGAAGAGAAAUUUGUGUAAAAUGGAUUGGGGAAAUGUUUAAUAAUCUUUCAAGACAUAUGGAACAGGUGAAAGCCUGUUGUACGAAUUGGGAAAAGUUUUGCCAAAACAUGAAGAAACAACAUUACAAAAGUACUUAAAAUUAAUAUUUGUCAAGUCAUCAUUGAUUCUCAUUUCCAGCAUUUAGAUUUUCUUCAGUUUAUGUCUGUCAGUUGCUAAUUCGUUUCUUGCUUCUCAGAAAAACAGGCAUCAUCUUUCCUUUGUCAUUGCAGCAGGUUAUACUCGUGUGCAAUAUUGAUAAGAUACGGAGGAGAAGUUUUGAAACACCCAGUGUCACCCUAUCACGUUUUAUUUUUCUUGUCAGAGAAAUAGUGUGCUCCCCGCAGUGUCUCCAAGUUAUUCAGCUUCAUUCCAGGAAAGCUGCUGUUUAUCUUCUAGCUGGAGACAUAGGAAGAGAAGGAAUUUCAGUGAAAGAAGAGUCCAGGGAAGCGAUGGAUAUCAUUACAAGACUCUCUAUGGGAUCUGUCUCCCCGUGUGAAUGAGAUAGUAACCCUUCCAGCAAGAAUUGCACACCAUCCAUGCACAUGGGGAAAUGGAAUUUGUUUUUACCACUUCUGCUUUUGAGAGACGCGUUGGCCAGUAGUGUGUGCAUGUGUCAGAAGUGUUGAAUGACCCCAACAUUCCGGUGAGAAAUGAAGUAGUGUGGUUGUUUCCUAUUUGCUGAGGAUGAUUGAGGCCCCUCCCUCACCCACAGUUCACAUGACUGCAGAAGGUGACUGUAUUUGGAAAAUACAUUCUUUAAAGACAUAGUUAAGACGGGGAAGCGGGGGGAAGGAGGGAAAGACUGGGGUUGGGGAUGGGCAUAUGAACAUAGAGGUAUAUGGGAUGAUUGGCCAACAGGGACCUGCUGUAUAGCACAGACAACUCUACCCAAUAUUCCAUGAUAAUGUAUGGGGGAAAAGAAUCUGAAAGAGAAUGGAUGUGUAUACCUAUAAAAAAAAAGGUUAUUCAGUUAAAAUGAGGUCCCUGGGAUGGGUCCUGAUCCAACAGAUGUGUGUCCUUAGAAGAAGAAGAAUUAGGAUACAGACAAGCACAGAGGGAAGAGCGUGGGAAGACACAGAGAGAGGAUGGCCAUCCAUAAGCCAAGGAAGGAGGAUGCCUCAGGAGAAAGCAAGCCGGCUGAUACCUUGAUCUUAAACUUCCAGCCUCCAGAACUGGGAGUAUAAAUGUCUGCUGUUGAAGCCAUGGAGGCUGUGGUAUUUUGCUGCAGUAGCCCGGGAACACUCGGACAUGGGAUUCCAAGUCUCUCGUGCAACGGUCUUGACAGGGAUGGAGUGGGACAGUUACACAGGUAGUUGUAGAAGUCCCAAUAAAGGGCCGUAAAUAGAGAGGGAAACCGAGGGAACUUUGGGAGAUCACUGCAAAAUAGUAACUGCUCAAGAAAGCCACCAGAACGUGGCAGGCUUGUUUGACUACUGGAGGCGCAAGAUACACUGCAGGCCAUUGGGUGGGGGAUGGGGCGGGGCCUGCGUUCGGGUUCAGGCCAAGGGCAGUUUAAGGACCACCCUUCUGCUGAUUUGAAUCAGCACCAUGGCAGUCCUAGCCUGACCUUAUAGGGUCAAAUACUGUCUUAGCAGAUACCCAGGAGGAGCUACUACUUGAA
This 1758-nucleotide long non-coding RNA is filed under the name Sus scrofa (pig). RNAcentral describes it as "lncRNA (ENSSSCG00050066954.1)". Lineage: Eukaryota; Metazoa; Chordata; Mammalia; Artiodactyla; Suidae. The record is from RNAcentral.